GGCGGCGUGCUAAUACAUGCAAGUCGAGCGAGCUUGCCUAGAUGAUUUUAGUGCUUGCACUAAAUGAAACUAGAUACAAGCGAGCGGCGGACGGGUGAGUAACACGUGGGUAACCUGCCCAAGAGACUGGGAUAACACCUGGAAACAGAUGCUAAUACCGGAUAACAACACUAGACGCAUGUCUAGAGUUUGAAAGAUGGUUCUGCUAUCACUCUUGGAUGGACCUGCGGUGCAUUAGCUAGUUGGUAAGGUAACGGCUUACCAAGGCAAUGAUGCAUAGCCGAGUUGAGAGACUGAUCGGCCACAUUGGGACUGAGACACGGCCCAAACUCCUACGGGAGGCAGCAGUAGGGAAUCUUCCACAAUGGACGAAAGUCUGAUGGAGCAACGCCGCGUGAGUGAAGAAGGGUUUCGGCUCGUAAAGCUCUGUUGGUAGUGAAGAAAGAUAGAGGUAGUAACUGGC
This 463-nucleotide ribosomal RNA is filed under the name Lactobacillus johnsonii. Its description in RNAcentral is "bacterial SSU rRNA". It matches the Rfam family "Bacterial small subunit ribosomal RNA", at positions 38 to 469 of the family's 1533-position model. Lineage: Bacteria; Bacillati; Bacillota; Bacilli; Lactobacillales; Lactobacillaceae. The record is from RNAcentral.